Molecule: small nuclear RNA, 133 nt
Filed under: Cebus imitator (Panamanian white-faced capuchin)
Lineage: Eukaryota; Metazoa; Chordata; Mammalia; Primates; Cebidae
Description: U4 spliceosomal RNA (ENSCCAG00000007817.1)
Source: RNAcentral
AGCUUUGCACAGUGGCAGUAUCAUAGCCAAUGAGGUUUAUCCAAGGCACAAUUACUGAUAAUUGAAACAAGAUUUCCUCUUUUCCAAGUAAAAACUCCAGGCACCAGAGUGUUUGCUCUCUCUGCCAUGUGAG